UCUGAAUGGAAGGGCCAUCGCUCAACGGAUAAAAGGUACUCCGGGGAUAACAGGCUGAUACCGCCCAAGAGUUCAUAUCGACGGCGGUGUUUGGCACCUCGAUGUCGGCUCAUCACAUCCUGGGGCUGAAGUAGGUCCCAAGGGUAUGGCUGUUCGCCAUUUAAAGUGGUACGCGAGCUGGGUUUAGAACGUCGUGAGACAGUUCGGUCCCUAUCUGCCGUGGGCGCUGGAGAACUGAGGGGGGCUGCUCCUAGUACGAGAGGACCGGAGUGGACGCAUCACUGGUGUUCGGGUUGUCAUGCCAAUGGCACUGCCCGGUAGCUAAAUGCGGAAGAGAUAAGUGCUGAAAGCAUCUAAGCACGAAACUUGCCCCGAGAUGA
RNAcentral lists this ribosomal RNA (380 nucleotides) under Escherichia coli. RNAcentral's name for it is "partial 23S ribosomal RNA". It matches the Rfam family "Bacterial large subunit ribosomal RNA", at positions 2428 to 2807 of the family's 2925-position model. The record is from RNAcentral. Lineage: Bacteria; Pseudomonadati; Pseudomonadota; Gammaproteobacteria; Enterobacterales; Enterobacteriaceae. RNAcentral also lists the same sequence under 1 other name.